This 253-nucleotide ribosomal RNA is filed under the name uncultured bacterium. Its description in RNAcentral is "partial 16S ribosomal RNA". It matches the Rfam family "Bacterial small subunit ribosomal RNA", at positions 524 to 776 of the family's 1533-position model. The record is from RNAcentral.
UACAGAGGGGGCGAGCGUUGUUCGGAAUUACUGGGCGUAAAGGGCGCGUAGGCGGCCUCUUAAGUCGAACGUGAAAUCCCCGGGCUCAACCCGGGAACUGCGUCCGAUACUGGGAGGCUUGAAUCCGGGAGAGGGAUGUGGAAUUCCAGGUGUAGCGGUGAAAUGCGUAGAUAUCAGGAGGAACACCGAUGGCGAAGGCAGGUCACUGGGCCGCAACUGACGCUGAGGAGCGAAAGCAUGGGGAGCGAACAGG